Molecule: long non-coding RNA, 2896 nt
Organism: Vicia villosa (hairy vetch)
Lineage: Eukaryota; Viridiplantae; Streptophyta; Magnoliopsida; Fabales; Fabaceae
Exons: 3
Source: RefSeq, a predicted model, not a curated record
GACUCAACAAUAUCUUAUGGCGUGUUUAAUCAUCUAAUGAAACUUAUGGAUUUGCAGCAAAAAGGAACAUUUGAAACAGGGCAAGAGGACACUACAGAAAUUCCUGAAGAACUGAGACUGAGAUUGGCAUAUAGAGAAGCAGCUGUUGCUGUUCUUGCAUGUUAUUUUCCUGAACCACUCCGCCCUUUUGUUGAGACUAAUAUAACUUCUAUUCGCAGCCAGCCAAAUAUGUGUUAUAAUGAAGUAGCUUCUUGCGGGCUGCAAUAGAGGGAAUUUGUUGGAUGAAGGAAGGGCCAUGUACAACUCCCUUUAUUCUCUUUCAAUUUUAAUUUGCAGCGUGUGGAAACAAGAGAAAUCAGGUGAAUUGGGCAGAGGAGGUUCAACUGCAGUUGCAGCAAUACUGAUCAACUAUCAGACGUAGGUAGUGGUUAAUAUUCAAUUUCAUUUUUUAUUGUAUCUUUUCUGCAGAUGAGAUCAUGAACCUGUUUCUGAUUUCAAUUUCAAUUUUGUUGGUAGGGUUUGAGAUCUUGCAAUUGAAUUGAGUGCUGAUUUUGUUACUAGUUUGGUUUCAUCUGGAAAUUGUAUAGGUUAGAUUACUUAUGGUUCAGUUAUAAAGCUUAUGCAUGAGAAGACAAAAUUCAGGUUGCAUUCUCAGGAUGUUCCGUAUGGUUCUAGCAGUGGACAGCAAUCGGUUACUGGUUUUCCUACUGUUGAUGAUGCCAAAAGUUAAUGGGUACCUGAAUUCGGUUCAAAUCUGUAGCUGAGAUCUUGAGCCCUGGAAAUUGGAAAUGGCCUUCUCUUGCCAGCAAUAUGGAUUCUUUCUUUGAUGCAUUUGAUAUUGAGAGCAACUUGUCGAGUCGAAACUUUGAAGAAACUUAAAUCUGAGCACUCAAUUCAGGUUCUUAUUUAUGAUUUUUUUUCCCGAUGUUGCAAGUCUUCUAUAAAGAAAGGUUGAAUGGAUAUUAUGGAUUUGCAGUGUACAUUAUGUCAAAUUUUUGUAUAUCAUAUUAUGUUAAAUUUUGGACAAUGGAAAUAGCAUUAAUUCUAACUAUGCUUCUUUUAUUCCACCUUUUGGUUUAAAUCCCAAAAUGAAUUUUCUCUGUUUAUAGUUCAUGUUUCUCAGUCUACUAUUCCUCAAAGUAACUUAAUGCUUGGUUAAUAUCAUUCUUCAACUAUUCUAUGGAAAUUAUGUUUUUAUUGCACUAGUUGUUGGUUACAUAUAAAGGUCAACCGCUAGAAUUACUGACAAAGAUGAAUUCAGUUACGAGACGCAUCGAUCUAACCUUCAUAAUAAGCUUUAUAUCCCUUAAAGCACCUGCUGCAUACACAUUCAACGCACUUGCUCCUCAAGUUGACGCCUUGUAGGCCUUCUGCUAGUGGCUGCAACUUGCAAUGACUUGCGCGAAACUUAAAGGCUAAAUUACAUGUAAGUAAACAUUCAUGUAAGUAAGUAUUAGGAUAUAGUAAAUUCUGUUUGGAAACUAUGAUUCUCCUAAGGUACCAUUGUAAAUUUAAUUCUUGAUUACCUAAAAGUAUGAUUUUGUUAAGACUUUAUAGUUCUUGAAACUUUACCAUCAUUAUUGUUGGGUUAUUAUGACACUGGUAAUUUUUUGAGCAUUCAUGACAUGCGGGGUUAAAAUAGAACAGUGGUGGUAAUGGCUUGAAAUAUAGUGACGGGCUUAGGCUUGGAAGUUUAUGAUCGGCUUUGGCGAUGUUUGCGUGAUUCGAGGUGCUGCUUCAUAAGGAUUACUACUUAUGGACUAGCAUGGUAUUAAUGGGUUUUUUGACCUGAUAAGUAGGCUACUGAUGUGUUAUGUUUCUGUUGUUCUACAACUUCAUUAUUUUUUUGACCAUUGCUUAAAUUGUUAGAGAUUGGAGUCAUUUGGAGGGAUGUUAUAUCCGUUCUCCAAUUCUGCUUUGUUUUUUUUAGAUUGGUGUUGGUAACAGACAAUUUUGUAUCUUUGGCAUUGCUUGUAACAUGUUUUCAGUAGUCUUAUUUUGGUCUUUCAAAAAAAAAAACUUCAUCUUUAUAGAGAUAUGUGUCACCAUAAGCUACAACAUUUUGAUCAUGUGCAAUAGUAGUAGUAGUAGCCAUAAUAGUAAUAGCAUGUAAAUUUUGAUCAUUGGAAGAAUUUACAACAUGAGUAAUAACAUCAUCUUGAACAUUUUUUUCUGGUGCAUGAGUAAGACAUGUCCCAGUUUGUUGAGAUUCAUAAGUCAUAGCAAAUAAUUUUUUAUCAUUGACAUUAGAGCUGACACAACCUGAUAAUACCGACAACAUCCCACCCGAUUUAUAUCUUAGAAAUAUUGACGAGUUGUUCGAAAAAAACGAGAGCCUUCUAUUGAAAUGAUGCUCAUAUGUCACCAUAAAUCACAACAGCUACAACAGCAAUAUCAACACAGCAACAUGUAGAUUUCAGCCACUGCUAAUGUUUUGAAAGAUCAUUUGAUUGCUUCAAGUGAGUGGAAAAUCAGCCUCAAAGCAACAACAUUCCAAGAAGACUCAAAUUCAAGUCGGUGCGGCGCUGACACCUAGAGAGAUAUAAAUGGCACAACAAAAAGGAUCAUGAUUUUGCCAUUAGAAUGCGAAACUUCAAUAUUUUGGGUGUGCUAAAACAUUUACACAUCACUCACUUACCCAAGUUCAUUUUUUAUACACUAUAUGUCAUUUUUAUAAUAAGCAUUUCAUAGCACACAAAAAUAAAAGUAGUUGAUAUUGAUGAACUUUGCUAAAUUUUAUCUACCAAUAAUUCUAAUUGGUCUAAAGCAAAACUACAUAAAUACUACAUGAUUAUAUUUUUAUCUGAUUCAAUUUUUCAAUUUUAAUACGACUUGCUAUACCGUGACAAUGAAGCAUCUUGGAUAUCUCCAACAUAUCUAAUAAAGACGCUAAAGA